AAUAUUGGACAAUGGGGGCAACCCUGAUCCAGCCAUGCCGCGUGUGUGAAGAAGGUCUUCGGAUUGUAAAGCACUUUAAGUUGGGAGGAAGGGCUUUAGGGUAAUACUCUGAUGUUUUGACGUUACUAACAGAAUAAGCAACGUAUAACUCUGUGCAAGCCGCCGCGGUAGUACAAAGGGUGCAAGCGUUAAUCGGAAUUACUGGGCGUAAAGCGCGCGUAGGUGGUUCAGUAAGAUGGGUGUGAAAUCCCCGGGCUUAACCUGGGAACUGCUUUCAUAACUGCUGAGCUAGAGUACGGUAGAGGGUAGUGGAAUUUCCUGUGUAGCGGUGAAAUGCGUAGAUAUAGGAAGGAACACCAGUGGCGAAGGCGACUACCUGGACUGAUACUGACACUGAGGUGCGAAAGCGUGGGGAGCAAAC
RNAcentral lists this ribosomal RNA (421 nucleotides) under uncultured bacterium. RNAcentral describes it as "partial 16S ribosomal RNA". It matches the Rfam family "Bacterial small subunit ribosomal RNA", at positions 360 to 773 of the family's 1533-position model. The record is from RNAcentral.